RNAcentral lists this ribosomal RNA (414 nucleotides) under Salmonella enterica. RNAcentral describes it as "partial 23S ribosomal RNA". It matches the Rfam family "Bacterial large subunit ribosomal RNA", at positions 1223 to 1636 of the family's 2925-position model. Lineage: Bacteria; Pseudomonadati; Pseudomonadota; Gammaproteobacteria; Enterobacterales; Enterobacteriaceae. The record is from RNAcentral. RNAcentral also lists the same sequence under 2 other names.
GUUGGGUAGGGGAGCGUUCUGUAAGCCUGUGAAGGUGUGUCGUGAGGCAUGCUGGAGGUAUCAGAAGUGCGAAUGCUGACAUAAGUAACGAUAAAGCGGGUGAAAAGCCCGCUCGCCGGAAGACCAAGGGUUCCUGUCCAACGUUAAUCGGGGCAGGGUGAGUCGACCCCUAAGGCGAGGCCGAAAGGCGUAGUCGAUGGGAAACGGGUUAAUAUUCCCGUACUUGGUGUUACUGCGAAGGGGGGACGGAGAAGGCUAUGUUGGCCGGGCGACGGUUGUCCCGGUUUAAGCGUGUAGGUGUGUGUUCCAGGUAAAUCCGGUUCACUUUAACACUGAGGCGUGACGACGAGGCACUACGGUGCUGAAGCAACAAAUGCCCUGCUUCCAGGAAAAGCCUCUAAGCAUCAGGUAACA